Molecule: ribosomal RNA, 432 nt
Filed under: uncultured bacterium
Lineage: Bacteria
Description: bacterial SSU rRNA
Rfam family: Bacterial small subunit ribosomal RNA
Source: RNAcentral
AGCGAACGCUGGCGGCAGGCCUAACACAUGCAAGUCGAACGAACUCUUCGGAGUUAGUGGCGGACGGGUGAGUAACACGUGGGAACGUGCCUUUAGGUUCGGAAUAACUCAGGGAAACUUGUGCUAAUACCGAAUGUGCCCUUCGGGGAAAGAUUUAUCGCCUUUAGAGCGGCCCGCGUCUGAUUAGCUAGUUGGUGAGGUAAAGGCUCACCAAGGCUACGAUCAGUAGCUGGUCUGAGAGGAUGACCAGCCACAUUGGGACUGAGACACGGCCCAAACUCCUACGGGAGGCAGCAGUGGGGAAUCUUGCGCAAUGGGCGAAAGCCUGACGCAGCCAUGCCGCGUGGAUGAUGAAGGUCUUAGGAUUGUAAAAUCCUUUCACCGGUGAAGAUAAUGACUGUAGCCGGAGAAGAAGCCCCGGCUAACUUCGUG